RNAcentral lists this long non-coding RNA (837 nucleotides) under Anas platyrhynchos platyrhynchos (common mallard). Its description in RNAcentral is "lncRNA (ENSAPLG00000026078.1)". Lineage: Eukaryota; Metazoa; Chordata; Aves; Anseriformes; Anatidae. The record is from RNAcentral.
UCUUAUAUUCUAAAAUGUGAAUUGUCUUCACAGAGAAAAAUGGCAUUUGUGAUUUUCACUUAGCCAUAGAUUUUCUCUGUGGUGAGAGAAAAAUACACUUUUAUGAUGGGAGUGAAAGCAAGAUUAUUACUGUAAACAUAUAUAGUCCCAUACCAAAAAGAAAAUUAAGCUGUCAUAACCUUGUAAAUUUUCAUUGUUUGUUUACUUUUAGUUGUUUUUGUUGUUGCUGCUGUUGGUUUUGCUUAUUUAUUUAUUUAUCCUUGUUCUAGACAGGACACUGCUGCUUCCAGACCCUCUAAAGCUCUUGUGGGUUGCUAAGAUUCAGCUUCACUUGUGAAAAAUGUGUUUCCAUGGCAGGACAGCUAAAAAACAUGAGCAUUUCUGAGGUGCUGUGAGGUGAUUUUGCCAAGGUCAGUUUCCUUACUUCACCAAGUCCACUUGAGCAUAAAUCAGCCUUGUCUUUACGGUUUGUUUUUCUAUUGCCAUGGAGUGGGCUGUGUGUGUGGUUAAUGCUGAGAGAGGUGGUAUGCAGCAUAAACAAGCCUCUUUGGAUGAAGGGCUUCCAAAAGAAGGGGAACACCUGCCCAAGUGCUGCAGGCACACAUGCACUUCACAUCUCACUGCCUCCAGUACAGAACGCAACCUGCAGUGCAUUUGGACGUACGUUACAUUGGUGUUCCUCCCUUGAGCUUGCACCCUGGCUAUUUUGAUGAUACACCCAAGAAACGGAAGAGGAUGUGCAGGAGAUAUCAGUGGUUAUUUGACUUGCUGCUAAUCUUUGAAUGCAACUGUACCCAGUCACACAGUCAGAGCAGCACAGCCCUCCAGACACUGUGA